AGGCGACCAAAAACCGAAGCUUUCUUUGCUACGUCAGGGCUUAGCCCGAUAUGUAAAGUUGGCCGUGAUCUCGCGAUCACCAGGGCGGGCAAUAGAAAUGUUCCCGUCUCCCGAACUUGGAAAGGUGAUUAGUUGCAAUGCA
RNAcentral lists this non-coding RNA (142 nucleotides) under Veronia pacifica. RNAcentral describes it as "Enterovibrio pacificus MoCo sequence". It matches the Rfam family "Molybdenum/Tungsten riboswitch aptamer (Moco RNA motif)". The record is from RNAcentral. Lineage: Bacteria; Pseudomonadati; Pseudomonadota; Gammaproteobacteria; Vibrionales; Vibrionaceae.